This is a long non-coding RNA of Oncorhynchus tshawytscha (Chinook salmon), 1192 nucleotides long. The record is from Ensembl. Lineage: Eukaryota; Metazoa; Chordata; Actinopteri; Salmoniformes; Salmonidae.
GAAAUAUAGUUAUUCAUUCUAAUUUAAUGGAAACCACAAUCAGUUGGUAUUACUAAGAAUUGUUAUGUAUGUCUAGUUACUUUAUGUCUAUUCGGCUCUUGAAUUUCAACACAACAUCCAUAAUUUGAAUUACUCAGAAGAGAACUUGAACAAUGGGAUAUUUUUAAGUGCUGUGAACAUUUAUGUUGCCGAUUGUGACAUGAGAUGUCUGAUCUUUUGGUGCAGAAUGUGAUAAUUCUUGAAAGAUAUUUCAUGGAGGUUGUACAUGUUGAUAUCUCAUAAACAAAGUACUACAUCUCUCAGUGGUGUGAAGUAUAUUUCCAAUUGGAUGUUCAGCCAAUCCAGUUGAUUGUAAACUUAUAGGCAAACUGUGUAGUACCAUGUUGCAUUCAGAUCAGUUUUGUGGCAUUCAAUUCCUCUCGCGACAUUAUAAAAUGCAACUUUUGGUUUGUUUGUUGGAAUUUCAACCAAAAAGCGAGUUGGGGUGUUUUAUAGGCCCUCACAUUGGAAGGCAGAGGCCUCACUGUUAACUAAUUUAAGUGGCCAUUGGGAUAAAGGCAUUAUGGGCCACAUUGAGUUUACACUUUUGUUGCCAACCCAGAUUUUGGAGUAUUCCAAAUCACCUUGUUGUUCUAGAAUGACAUUGUAACUUUGGAUGCUGCCAUUAUCAGCUUAUGGCCUUAAAUCCUUGAGUCUUACUGAGUCUUGGCCUGACUUCUGGACAAGGUUUCUUAUUAUGGCAAAAAGCAGUACCUGCCAAAAAAAAACAUUAAUUGCAGGUCAUUUUUUAAAGAGCUCCACAGCUUUUCUUUCUAGUGAACAAAAUGUAAAACUUAGCACUUUCAUAAAAAUAGGGAAUAUUAGAAUAAAACAUAUACUAGAUAUACUCAAAUAUAGAUAUUGUCAGUCCAAGGGAACAUUUAAAGGAAAUAUUAAACUCAGACAACACUGUUUUGACAAACUUGAAGUUUGUUUCUUUGUGACUGCUGUACUAAUUAUAUGUAUUGUAAGCCAGUUGUAUUAUAAUAGUAUAUAUUGUAGUAUACUUUGAUCUGUACAGAAACUCAAGUUCUUUCAUUUUUUGUUAACUUUUUUUCUUGUUUGCUAAUAAAAGAUUGAAGAUACCAUGGCUACAACAUUGCUGUUUGCAUGUGUGAUGACUUUUCAACCAAACAAUAAAGUAAUUUCUUCA